GGUGAAAGUCUGCAGCUCAAACUGUAGAAAUUGCCCUUUGAUACUGGUUUCUGAAAUUAUUUGUGAAGUGGGUAGAAUAAGUAGUGUAGCGGUGAAAUGCAUAGAUAUUACUUAGAAUACCAAUUGCGAAGGGCAGAUCACUACAUAUAUUGACGCUGAGGGACGAAAGCGUGGGGGAGCGAACAGGGAUUAGAUACCCUGGUAGUCCACGCCGUAAACGAUGGAUACUAGCUGUUCGAUUUUCGGAUUGAGUGGCUAAGCGAAAGUGAUAAGUAUCCCACCUGGGGAGUACGUUCGCAAGAAUGAAACUCAAAGGAAUUGACGGGGGCCCGCACAAGCGGUGGAGCAUGUGGUUUAAUUCGAUGAUACGCGAGGAACCUUACCAGGGCUUAAAUGUAGUGGGACAGGUCUAGAAAUAGACCCUUCUUCGGACUCAUUACAAGGUGCUGCAUGGUUGUCGUCAGCUCGUGCCGUGAGGUGUCAGGUUAAGUCCUAUAACGAGCGCAACCCCUGUUGUUAGUUGCCAGCGAGUAAUGUCGGGAACUCUAACAAGACUGCCGGUGCAAACCGCGAGGAAGGUGGGGAUGACGUCAAAUCAUCACGGCCCUUACGUCCUGGGCUACACACGUGCUACAAUGGUAGGUACAGAGAGCAGCCACUGCGCGAGCAGGAGCGAAUCUAUAAAACCUAUCACAGUUCGGAUCGGAGUCUGCAACUCGACUCCGUGAAGCUUGAAUCGCUGGUAAUCGCAUAUCAGCCAUGAUGCGGUGAAUAAGUUCCCGGGCCUUGUACACACCGCCCGACAAGCCAUGGAAGCUGGGGGUACCUGAAGUCGGUGACGGUAAGGAGCUGCCUAGGGUAAAACUAGUAACUGGGGCUAAGUCGUAACAAGGUAGCCAUAAGGAAGAAUUCUGCAGAAUCAUAUCACAGCUUCCCGCUUGAGCAAGCAUGUAGAACGGCC
Molecule: ribosomal RNA, 961 nt
Filed under: uncultured Gilvibacter sp.
Lineage: Bacteria; Pseudomonadati; Bacteroidota; Flavobacteriia; Flavobacteriales; Flavobacteriaceae
Description: bacterial SSU rRNA
Rfam family: Bacterial small subunit ribosomal RNA
Source: RNAcentral